AAUGGCAAGAUGUUUAACUAUCGAUAGCAGCAAGCACGAUGUGGUGAUAUCGAUAAUGGCAUCGAUUGCUGCCACAAGAUUAGUCUGUUUGGCGCAAUUGUAACGCGAAGAUCGUGUGUCUCUCUUUCAGUGUGUCAGAGAAACGGUCGCGAGUUCAAGUUCUCCGGCUAAAAGGCAGCUUAAUACAUUUGAUUGCGAUUGUUAAUCACGCUCAUACGAUUAAGUACGAAAUUAUUUUGGCUAAUCUAGUACUACACAAGUAAUUGCUGGCUGGCAUUGUUAUUGUUGUGGCCGGUGCCGGGGCAACAGAAUCGUUACAGCGCGGCUGUUCCUUCUAAAUUUAUUUAUUUAUUUUUUGUUGUUGUUUUAUAUUUUGUUUAGUUUGAGAUGUGUCGCAAUUAAAUAAUCUACAUACAAACAUAAUUAUUAUUUAAUUGUAAAAAAAAAUAAAAAUAAAAUACAAAGUAAACAGCAAGAGCCACAGCGUCGGCUGCCAGCAGAGUGAAGUGCGCGAACGUAAAGUAAAGCGCGAUACGCGAAUUAAUGUAAAGUGUGUGUGGAGUGUGUGCGUGCAAUUCGGAAUUGGAGCAAUAGCCGCAACGGCAACGGCAGCGGCCAACGCCACCAAUUUUCCAACUCGUCGCGAUAUUUGCGCUCUGCCCGGCACGUACCAAUCACAUUGCUUAUGUAUGUGUGACUCUGUCUGUGUGUGUGUGUGGUGUGUGUGGGGCUUGGAGCUGCCCACCUGCCGCAUAGGCAAAUCGAGCACGUUAAUUAAAUGUCAACAGUUUGGAAAUUGAGAAGCGCGCGGGUCGCGAAAGGACGCGGAGCUGAGAGCGAAAUUGAAACUGAAAUCGAAGCGGA
Drosophila mojavensis is the source of this 864-nucleotide long non-coding RNA. RefSeq lists it as uncharacterized. The transcript has 2 exons. NCBI's taxonomy places the organism in Eukaryota, Metazoa, Arthropoda, Insecta, Diptera, Drosophilidae. The record is from RefSeq and is a predicted model, not a curated record.